RNAcentral lists this ribosomal RNA (253 nucleotides) under uncultured bacterium. Its description in RNAcentral is "partial 16S ribosomal RNA". It matches the Rfam family "Bacterial small subunit ribosomal RNA", at positions 524 to 776 of the family's 1533-position model. The record is from RNAcentral.
UACGUAGGGGGCAAGCGUUGUCCGGAUUUAUUGGGCGUAAAGAGCGUGUAGGCGGCUUGGAAGGUCAGCUGUGAAAACUCGAGGCUCAACCUCGAGACGUCGGUUGAAACCACCUGGCUAGAGUCCGGAAGAGGAGAGUGGAAUUCCUGGUGUAGCGGUGAAAUGCGCAGAUAUCAGGAAGAACACCCGUGGCGAAGGCGGUUCUCUGGGACGGUACUGACGCUGAGACGCGAAAGCGUGGGGAGCGAACAGG